Molecule: RNA transcript, 2595 nt
Organism: Manis pentadactyla (Chinese pangolin)
Lineage: Eukaryota; Metazoa; Chordata; Mammalia; Pholidota; Manidae
Gene: SARNP
Gene name: SAP domain containing ribonucleoprotein
Exons: 13
Source: RefSeq, a predicted model, not a curated record
AGAGUUGGUGGUUCGAGGUGCGAGUAAGAGUGACGACGAUUGGUCAGCCCUGGCUGCCUGGGCCUGGGCGGGAGCUCCCGGCGGCGGAGGCCGCGGGUGGGGGCCGAGUGGAGUGGAGGGGCAGCAAGAUGGCGGCGGAGACAGUGGAGCUCCAUAAACUGAAGCUUGCUGAACUAAAGCAGGAAUGUCUUGCUCGUGGUUUGGAGACCAAGGGAAUAAAACAAGAUCUCAUCAACAGACUCCAAGCAUAUCUUGAAGAGCAUGCCGAAGAGGAGGCAAAUGAAGAAGAUGUAUUGGGAGAUGAAACAGAGGAAGAAGAACCAAAGCCCAUAGAACUGCCUAUCAAAGAAGAAGAACCCCCUGAAAAAACUGUUGAUGUAGCGGCAGAGAAGAAAGUGGUAAAAAUCACAUCUGAAAUACCACAGACUGAGAGAAUGCAGAAGAGAGCUGAACGAUUCAAUGUGCCUGUGAGCUUGGAGAGCAAGAAAGCUGCCCGGGCAGCUAGAUUUGGGAUUUCCUCAGUUCCAUCAAAAGGUCUGUCAUCUGACCCCAAGCCUAUGGUUAACCUGGAUAAACUAAAGGAAAGAGCUCAAAGAUUUGGUUUGAAUGUCUCUUCAAUCUCCAGAAGGCAGUUACUGUUUUCUUUAUAUUGCCUGAGGAUUUUCCAAAUGUGGAAGAGAAGGAGCAAAGUGGAUUUUGAAAAGUUGAAGAUGUCUUCUGAAGAGCUCAGUUUGGAACCAUCUUACUCCACGAUGGAGAAAACAUCUGAAGAUGAUGAGAAGCUGAAAAAGAGGAAGGAGCGAUUUGGGAUUGUCACAAGUUUACCUGGAACAGGAAACACAGGGGAUACAGAGGCAAAGAAGAGGAAAAGAGCAGAGCGCUUUGGGAUUGCGUGAUGAGAAAGCUGCUUGAUGCUUUCUGUUAUCCAGUGGUUUCCAGCUCUCUGUCUCUUCUUGGCCACAUAUAUACCUGAAUGCAGAGUCCUGUGCCUAGGUCCUGCCUUGCAAUGAGGGAGCGUGUACCCAGGUUCAAGUGCUGGAUUGUGUCAUGUGACCACCCCAAAACUCAGAGCACUCUAUGGCCAUCUUUGCCCUCUGUCACAUAACUUGAAAACUGCCUGAUAGCCUUUUUGCAGUGGUUCCCUCCAGGAAGCCUUGAUCUCAGUGAAGAAGUCCUUUCCCAACAUUCCAGUACCUUGCCAGCCCCAUACUCCUCUGACACCCUUAACAAAGGCAAUCACACAGUGUAACAAAAUACACAAAGUAAAUAAUCAUUACAUUAAUCAUGGUUGGAGGGCACUGGCCAUGUCCACACAUAAGGUGGGAAGUGAGGGCUCUAGUUCCCACUAGGUUGCUGGGCUGUGCCCCCAAGCCUAUACCCCAUGCCUCUGGGGGUGGAGAGGACCAGGGGACUGAGACUUCAGCUUAUGGACUGACGUUCAUAAGAGAAAGACCUUCCCCCAAAGGUUAUUUGGUGGUAUUAAAGGGUCAUAUUCUAAUGUCCCCAGAUGUAAUGCCCCAUCUCUCUAGAAUUUGUAGAGAGAAGUACCUGAUGCCCUGUACCAAGAUCAAGAGGCAUGGACAUGUGACCUCGGGAGAGUCAUCUUCUGUUCUUCACUCUGUUCCUUUCCUUCCACCAAAGGAGUGUGCAUGGUGUUGAUGGUCAGGUGUGUCUUGUUCUCCAAGAUUGGGGCAGGAUGGGUGAAGAACAGGAGAGGAGAAGCUGGGGGUUAUUUAGUACACUUGCUGUUGGGAGGAGGUGAGAUGCAAUGCUUUAUAGCCCCUGCCCAUUUAUGUACUGAAAUACUUCCUCUAAUUUUUUCAUUAUGGGAAUGGGAAUAAGAUGCUAAAGCUCACCGACAUAAUCUUCAUGAGGGUGGUCACAUACCUUUGCCCUUUCCACUGAUGGCCCAGGUGCGAGUCAUGGUCUUGGGAAGAACAAUCUCCUGGGUCAGCUCUCCAGCUUGGGCUUUCAGUUCUGUUUUCAUCAGACCCAUAACUGCUGUCUUUACUUAGAGUGACAGUUUUGCUGAAGGUUCUUUCUCCCUCCUCUCCUGACCACCUCGAGGCUCUUGCUUGGAACCAAGAGGUUUGGUGGUGAGGUAUCGUUGGGUGUGGAUCAGGAGAUUCUCAGUUCCUUGCCUUCAGGCACUGUCCAGCUGGGAGGCACAGGGGAUCUUGUACUCAGAAGCCUUUGACUCCUUUAAGCCUCAUCUCUUCACCACUACUCUGGUGCCCUGGUAUCUGUCCCACAGCGAGAGGUAUUUUAUGUCCAUAAAGUGCCCAUGGUAAGUGCUCAGAAUUCAUCUCUUGGCUGUGGUGGGUGCUGCUAUUUCUCAUUCCAUUGAGGGAAGAAACCGAGGCACACUGAGUCCAGAGGAGGUUGCAUUGGGAUUGUAGGAGGAAUGAGUAGUCCCAGCCGGGAACUGGGAUUGGCAACCAGUCCCCUAGCUGCUUUGUAGCCUUCCAAACCAGGGAGCCUGCGUCCUUCCCAUCCUCUGCUCUAACUGGCCUUGUCAGAUGUUUUUCCCCACUGUACUUCCCCCUCCCUGCUGCCAGGUACUGCUAGAUUUAAAAAAUAAAAGAUAAAAAUAAU